RNAcentral lists this ribosomal RNA (253 nucleotides) under uncultured bacterium. RNAcentral's name for it is "partial 16S ribosomal RNA". It matches the Rfam family "Bacterial small subunit ribosomal RNA", at positions 524 to 776 of the family's 1533-position model. The record is from RNAcentral.
UACAGAGGUCUCAAGCGUUGUUCGGAUUCAUUGGGCGUAAAGGGUGCGUAGGCGGCGCGGUAAGUCGGGUGUGAAAGUUCGAGGCUUAACUUCGAAACUGCAUUCGAUACUGCCGUGCUUGAGGACUGGAGAGGAGACUGGAAUUUACGGUGUAGCGGUGAAAUGCGUAGAUAUCGUAAGGAAGACCAGUGGCGAAGGCGGGUCUCUGGACAGUUCCUGACGCUGAGGCACGAAGGCCAGGGGAGCAAACGGG